Molecule: long non-coding RNA, 969 nt
Organism: Carassius gibelio (silver crucian carp)
Lineage: Eukaryota; Metazoa; Chordata; Actinopteri; Cypriniformes; Cyprinidae
Exons: 4
Source: RefSeq, a predicted model, not a curated record
GCACUGUAAAAAAUUAUUUAGCAGUUUAGUUGUUUCAAUGAAUUUUUUUAUGUUGACACAACUUGCAGUUACUGAAUUUGUUCAUUCAACUAAAAAUUUUAAGUUUUCAGUGUCUCAACUAGUUUGAAAGUUGACUGAACUAGGUUAUUUGUCCUUAUAACUUAAAAAAAUUUGUUGACUCAAUUCAAUAGCAAUAUCACGUUCACAACAUCACUUAUCGCGAGAUCUCGUCAUUCUCCUGAAUGCUGUUGAAGAGAGAAGAAGGUCGUCAGCCAUUCUAGUCAGUUUCUCCUCAAAGUUUGGACAUUUGACUAAAAUACAACUUUGAUUCAGAGCAGAAUUCAAUAAUCCUGUGAAUGGACCACAGCGAGUCCUUUUGCAGUUAUCCAUCAAAAUGAUAUGCAGACAUAAUGGAAAUGGCAUUUACACAGUAGAGCUUGGACGAAGUUCACACAGGCUCUGCGCAGGAAUUCAUCAAGGACAUGACUGCUGGGAUUACGCUUGUGGAUGACCAAUCUGAGCACCAUCAGUCUGCAGUGAUGUGGUCCAGCCAUCCAGUGACAUUAAGGAUGUUGAGAAAGAAAUUGAAGAGGGCAUUCUGAUUGUAACUGAUGAACAGCAAUGUGAUGUGCUUCCCAAGGAAUAACCAACAUUGGUCUCAUUUGGACAUCCUGUCAUCACUGACAUCUCCCAUGUCCCCAAGGCAUUUGGACUCCUAAUGGGUCUGUAUGCAGUGAACAUCCACUACCUUCAGCGCAUUAAAUACACCAUUGAGGCUCUGCAAAAACUUGUGAAGAUCAGCUGCUCCCACCAUGUGCUCGCUACAGCGGCAGGAACUGUAGGUGUGGGGGAGUGAAUGUCCAGCGCCCUCUCCACCCUCAACACCACAAAUAAGGUGUCCUUGAGCAAGGCACAACUUCUCCCCGGGUGCUGCAGCAUAAAUGGAUGCCCACUGCUCUGGGUGUGUGU